RNAcentral lists this ribosomal RNA (541 nucleotides) under Meyerozyma carpophila. RNAcentral describes it as "partial large subunit ribosomal RNA". It matches the Rfam family "Eukaryotic large subunit ribosomal RNA", at positions 93 to 650 of the family's 3401-position model. Lineage: Eukaryota; Fungi; Ascomycota; Pichiomycetes; Serinales; Debaryomycetaceae. The record is from RNAcentral.
GUGAAGCGGCAAAAGCUCAAAUUUGAAAUCUGGCGCCUUCGGUGUCCGAGUUGUAAUUUGAAGAUUGUAACCUUGGGGUUGGCUCUUGUCUAUGUUUCUUGGAACAGGACGUCACAGAGGGUGAGAAUCCCGUGCGAUGAGAUGCCCAAUCCUAUGUAAGGUGCUUUCGAAGAGUCGAGUUGUUUGGGAAUGCAGCUCUAAGUGGGUGGUAAAUUCCAUCUAAAGCUAAAUAUUGGCGAGAGACCGAUAGCGAACAAGUACAGUGAUGGAAAGAUGAAAAGAACUUUGAAAAGAGAGUGAAAAAGUACGUGAAAUUGUUGAAAGGGAAGGGUUUGAGAUCAGACUCGAUAUUUUGUGAGCCUUGCCUUCGUGGCGGGGUGACCCGCAGCUUAUCGGGCCAGCAUCGGUUUGGGCGGUAGGAUAAUGGCGUAGGAAUGUGACUUUACUUCGGUGAAGUGUUAUAGCCUGCGUUGAUGCUGCCUGCCUAGACCGAGGACUGCGAUUUUAUCAAGGAUGCUGGCAUAAUGAUCCCAAACCGCCC